CCUUGUACACACCGUCCCGUCACACCAUGGGACGUCGUUUGCUCCAGAAGUGGCUAUGCCAACCCGCAAGGGAGGUAGGUCCCCAAGGAGUGAACGGUAACUGGGGUG
RNAcentral lists this ribosomal RNA (108 nucleotides) under uncultured bacterium. RNAcentral's name for it is "partial 16S ribosomal RNA". The record is from RNAcentral.